Molecule: non-coding RNA, 317 nt
Organism: Plectropomus leopardus (leopard coralgrouper)
Lineage: Eukaryota; Metazoa; Chordata; Actinopteri; Perciformes; Serranidae
Source: RefSeq, a predicted model, not a curated record
GGUUUGUGAACAGGGAGGAGAUGCAUACAUGCCCCUGUCGGUGCUUCCCAUGCUGUUAGGAGAUCUACAAGUUUGGUCAAACAAGGAUGGACCCCCCAAAUUAUGACCCUCCACCACCUACUUUCUGCAAAAGAACAUCGGCGAAUCCACCACAUAAUCCAGAUGGAGUGGAAAACAACAGAGGAGUGGAGCCUGUGUAGCAAAGGUGACUGAUUUUCACUCCUGUUGUGUCUCUGAUGUAAUCAGACAAGUGAGCUGUUAUGUGUUCCCGAUUAUGCAAGUAAAAAAAACCAAAAAAAAAAACCACACACACACGC